UUAAUGUUGUUAUUUUUCAGAGUUAAAAAUCUGCGGUUUUUAAUUGCACCUGAGGAUGCCCCCCUGCUCUGUUCCUAGCUGGUGUUCGACAGGCGGAACGGAAGGAUUGAAGAGCUGACCACAAUACCUCCCAAGCCACUGUGCUUCUUACAGCAUGGCGCCAAUACCCGUCCCUUUGAGAAGUGGAGUCUUUGUUCCCUUCCCUUGAGUUUUGGCAGGACUCUGACUAUGUCAGAGGUAAAUUUAUGUGACUUCCGAGACUGGGUCAUGAAAGACAACACCGGUUCUGCCCAGUUCCUUAGAAUGAAGGAAGGCUGGCACCAUGGUGUGAGGAAGCCGAAGCCACACAGAGGCUGCACGUGGAUGCUCCAGCCAACUGCCCCAGCUGAGGCUCAGCCGCCAGACAUGGGCAUGAAGACAUCUUCAGAACAACUCUGGCCCCAGCCGCCGUGAUGGCAGGAGAGGCUCCCAGAGAGAACCAGCCAACCCCCAGGACUGUGGGACAUAGUAACAAAAUCUUGUUGGGGGUGAUAUUUUACCUAAAGAACAAUGAACAAAAAAUGCUGAUGUGUCA
This is a long non-coding RNA of Homo sapiens (human), 574 nucleotides long. RefSeq lists it as uncharacterized. The transcript is spliced from 2 exons. The record is from RefSeq and is a predicted model, not a curated record. Lineage: Eukaryota; Metazoa; Chordata; Mammalia; Primates; Hominidae.